GUAUAUCCAUUGCGGUGCUUUAAAAUUUUCGAUCUUAUUUUAAUUUUCGGAGAAAGAGAAGUCAAUUUUAUUGCUUGAAAUAUUUAAAGACUAUACUACUGACCAAGAAGAAAAAUCAAGAGUGUUUUCAAGGAAUUACUCCAGCUAGUUUUUCGAAUAAAAAAUGAAGUAUGACAGGAAGUCUGCAACGUCUCAAACGGAUAUACGUAGGUUCACACUUAGGCUAUUGUAAUUCAUCUUCCCGAGGGCUCUACCCUUUGGUUUUCGUGAGUUGAAUGGCUUUCCACGCUCCAACGAGGUUCCACACUAAGAGCCUACGAAUCGCCUUCAAAGGAAUGAGUAGGCAACCCCACGACUGCCGUGAUCGAAUAGUUAUCGCUCCAGAUUACAAGGCGCUUUGAAAAACGUUCAUUCCAUUGAGGAUUUGGAUACUAGAUUGAUAUCAGCCAGAAAGCUCAUACUCGCUGGAUCUUUAAAAUUAUUUUCCACCGUAUCAACUCAUGCAAGAAAAGGAAAGCAAUCAAGCAUUCGUUUGGGUGAGCGUGCUAAAUUUAAAUUGGUUUUUUCCGCGCCGACAGCGCCGUUGAUCAGCCGUUCACUGUUGCUCAUCCGGAGAUUUCGGCCAGUCUGUUUUGUUUUCAUCCGUUGCCGCUUGCCGUUCUCAGUGUUUUCGCAGAACUGGAAAUCGCUACGCCGAGUCGCUGAAAAUCGCCGGAUUACGUUUUAGAAUUUCUCAUUUUAAAUUUGGUUAAUUUCAUGCACUCAGUGAUGUGAUUACGGCUUUUUUUUUAAUCCUACAAAACCUGCUGUUCGAUUAAUGGCAAUCAUUGCCGGUUUAGUUCGGUAUCACGGUGUUAUGUUAACCAUGGUUAACCUUAAAUUUCCGCGGCCUUGUUUGUGUUUACAUGAGGGCUCUUAUCAUACCGACCGAGUGAGGAGAAACGGUAUGUUUGCAAAGUGUGCAAUGCGGCGUACAAGUACCAUUCUUCACUUUGCCAUCAUGCAAAAUCUCACACGAACGAGACUGUUUGUGAUGUCUGCGGGAAGAGUUUCGGGAGCGUAGGCUCUUUGAAGACCCAUCUGCUCCUCGUCCAUCGCAUCAAACCGAAUACGACAAAGUUUUGAGAUUCUGCGAAAGCGAACAAAAAAGGUCCGGCCUCGGGCGAAUAGUAUCUCGUUAAAAAUUAAAAUUUAUCAAGUAUUUCAAAAUUUUGGUCUUUAUUUCCUACCCUCUCUUUCGAUCGAGUUCCUACUCGAGUUCCUGUUUUAAAUUUGUCUCUUUAGUAAAACAAAAUACCGUAUGCGCCCUCAGGCGUUGCCAUAUUUCCUUUAAUCACCCACGAAUUUACUGGGAAAAUUCUGAAUAUUUUUCUUCCAUUUUUUCAGACAAUUUUGCUCCCCAUUUUAUCUAAAAUAUCUGAAAAUUCUAAGGGAAAAUAAGCAUAACUUUCUUCAAAAAUACAUGUUUUAUUCGGGGAAAUUUGGCAACUCUCGAAUGUUCAUACGGCGUUUUUCCUUAGCACGGCAGCAAUAGGCUAGUUACGCUGGUAACAGAAUCUUGUUUAAAUGCUUGAUUCUCGUAGAUUAGCGAAAAAUAAGAAGAUCUGCCAAAACAGCAACUUUCUACGUUGAAUAUUAACCGAGAUAUCGUCCUUUGAAAAGUCG
RNAcentral lists this long non-coding RNA (1665 nucleotides) under Bemisia tabaci. RNAcentral describes it as "lncRNA ENSSSA3NGG013144". The record is from RNAcentral. Lineage: Eukaryota; Metazoa; Arthropoda; Insecta; Hemiptera; Aleyrodidae.